AAAGCUGCUUGAUCCGCCUGAUA
Molecule: non-coding RNA, 23 nt
Filed under: Arabidopsis thaliana (thale cress)
Lineage: Eukaryota; Viridiplantae; Streptophyta; Magnoliopsida; Brassicales; Brassicaceae
Source: RNAcentral